GUGCUCUUCCUAUCUGGAAAAGAAAAAGAGAAAAAUUCAAUAGAUGAACUUGCUAACAGAUUGAAGCAGGACUGAAAUUGCUUUGAUU
This is a long non-coding RNA of Lynx canadensis (Canada lynx), 88 nucleotides long. RefSeq lists it as uncharacterized. Lineage: Eukaryota; Metazoa; Chordata; Mammalia; Carnivora; Felidae. The record is from RefSeq and is a predicted model, not a curated record. The transcript is spliced from 3 exons.